Molecule: long non-coding RNA, 263 nt
Filed under: Homo sapiens (human)
Lineage: Eukaryota; Metazoa; Chordata; Mammalia; Primates; Hominidae
Description: non-protein coding lnc-POTEG-6:1
Source: RNAcentral
CUCCCACUCCGCCCCAACUGGAGAACGGUGUAAAGAACUGUCAGCCGGGUGCAGUGGGAGACACCACGGAGCCUACCUCUGCAGGAGGCAUAGCUUGGCAGAAGGGAGACACCAGCCAGAGGAAGGGUGCACUUUAGGCACCGAACUUUAGGUAAAGCGCUCUGGGUCAGGCGUCUCCUCCAGAGUGGUCUGUUUAAAGUUAAAAAGGUCGCCUUCAAAAUAGUUGUAAAAUCUAUACACUUACCCAGACAUACACAUUUUUC